GUGUGAGAAAAAGAGAGAUAGAUCAGAAUUGACAAUGUACAUAAGCAACAAACACAAGUAUUUAUGGCCCAAAAAUCAAAGUUAAUAUUGUGCAUAAACAUCAAUAUUUAAUAGGGGUGUACUUUUACUAGUUAGUGUAUCCCUAUUAAAUAUGGAUGUGUAUGCAUAACGUUAGCAUUGAUUUUUGGACUAUAUAUACAUGUGUUUGUUGCUUAUGUACAACUUCAAUUUUGAUCUAUCUCUCUUUCUCUAAUACU
This 257-nucleotide microRNA precursor is filed under the name Medicago truncatula (barrel medic). RNAcentral describes it as "miR5750 stem-loop (mtr-MIR5750)". The record is from miRBase by way of RNAcentral. Lineage: Eukaryota; Viridiplantae; Streptophyta; Magnoliopsida; Fabales; Fabaceae.